Molecule: unclassified non-coding RNA, 148 nt
Organism: Pongo abelii (Sumatran orangutan)
Lineage: Eukaryota; Metazoa; Chordata; Mammalia; Primates; Hominidae
Rfam family: Metazoan signal recognition particle RNA
About the family: The signal recognition particle (SRP) is a universally conserved ribonucleoprotein.
Source: Ensembl
GCCGGGUGUGGUGGCGCAUGCCUGUGAUCCCAGCUACUUGGGAGGCUGAGGCAGGAGAAUCGCUUGAACCCAGGAGACAGAGGUUGCAGUGAGCCGAGAUCAUGUCAUCGCACUCCAGCCUGGGUGACAGAGUGAGACUCUGUCUCAA